This is a long non-coding RNA of Drosophila mojavensis, 497 nucleotides long. RefSeq lists it as uncharacterized. The record is from RefSeq and is a predicted model, not a curated record. Lineage: Eukaryota; Metazoa; Arthropoda; Insecta; Diptera; Drosophilidae. The transcript has 2 exons.
CCAACUAUAAUUGUCUUGGAUCUAACAGCUCCACAAAGAGCAGCUGUCAGAAUUUGAUUUUGAGCAUCGAGUUGGCUUUGCAGCUGAGCUGAGGCUUGGGGGGAGUUGAGAAAUCGAGUUAUCUUCAUAAUGCCAAUGUAGCUCAAACUGAACAGCUUUUAGUUUUAGGACCUGUAAAUUUGCCCAAUUUGAUAAAUUAUUGCAUACUCGACAAUAUGGUGCUUAAGUGGUGUCCUUCCAAGAAUGAAGAAGUGAAUCCCUUCUACAUUGGUCCAUAUCCUGACAAGUCAUGCGGAUCGUGUCCGUAUGGUGCCUUUUCAGGCUUUGUGCCAUGUGGCUGGCCCGAUCGCUGUAAGGGCAUGGCUGAAAGAAAUCGUUGCUGCGUUCCGAAAGAGGCCGCAUCUACUAAGAGCGUGAAAUAGGUUUUCAAUGGGCAAAUUUAUUCGAAAUUGCCCAAUAUAUACACAAUAAAGCAGAAGACAUUCAGUAGCAAUUUA